UCCGGAGGGUGCAAGCGUUGUCCGGAUUCACUGGGUGUAAAGGGUGUGUAGGUGGAAUGGCAAGUCAGGGGUGAAAGCCUACAGCUUAACUGUAGAACUGCCUUUGAUACUGUUGUUCUUGAGUACUGGAGAGGUCACUGGAAUUCGUGGUGUAGCGGUGAAAUGCGUAGAUAUCACGAGGAACACCUGAGGCGUAGGCGGGUGACUAGACAGAUACUGACACUGAGGCACGAAAGCGUGGGGAGCAAACAGG
Molecule: ribosomal RNA, 253 nt
Filed under: uncultured bacterium
Lineage: Bacteria
Description: partial 16S ribosomal RNA
Rfam family: Bacterial small subunit ribosomal RNA
Source: RNAcentral